RNAcentral lists this ribosomal RNA (253 nucleotides) under uncultured bacterium. Its description in RNAcentral is "partial 16S ribosomal RNA". It matches the Rfam family "Bacterial small subunit ribosomal RNA", at positions 524 to 776 of the family's 1533-position model. The record is from RNAcentral.
UACGAAGGGGGCUAGCGUUAAUCGGAAUUACUGGGCGUAAAGCGUGCGCAGACGGUUGCGUAAGUCAGAUGUGAAAGCCCCGGGCUCAACCUGGGAAUUGCAUUUGAGACUGCGUAGCUAGGGUGCGGAAGAGGGAAGCGGAAUUUCCGGUGUAGCGGUGAAAUGCGUAGAUAUCGGAAGGAACACCAGUGGCGAAAGCGGCUUCCUGGUCCAGCACCGACGUUCAGGCACGAAAGCGUGGGGAGCGAACAGG